UGCACCUGCAGCGGGCGCAGCACGGCCCUUGUGGCACUGUGCAGGUAGUCGGCCGUGUAUCGCCUGGUAAGUUAGGAAAUUUUCCUAACUUUAAAGAUUUCU
Molecule: small RNA, 102 nt
Filed under: bovine gut metagenome
Also listed under: 1 other name
Description: RT-5 RNA
Rfam family: RT-5 RNA
About the family: Clostridium (Firmicutes).
Source: RNAcentral